This 27-nucleotide small RNA is filed under the name Bombyx mori (domestic silkworm). Its description in RNAcentral is "ovarian small RNA-29184". The record is from RNAcentral. Lineage: Eukaryota; Metazoa; Arthropoda; Insecta; Lepidoptera; Bombycidae.
UCGUAGUUACUCGUAAGUUAAGUCAGC